Molecule: ribosomal RNA, 759 nt
Filed under: uncultured Cytophaga sp.
Lineage: Bacteria; Pseudomonadati; Bacteroidota; Cytophagia; Cytophagales; Cytophagaceae
Description: bacterial SSU rRNA
Rfam family: Bacterial small subunit ribosomal RNA
Source: RNAcentral
CAGCACGGGGUAGCAAUACUUUGGUGGCGACCGGCGCACGGGUGAGUAACACGUAUGUAACCUACCUUGUACUGGGGGAUAGCCCGGAGAAAUUCGGAUUAAUACCCCAUGAUUAUAUAUAGAGGCAUCUUUUUAUAUUUAAAGUUUCGACGGUACAGGAUGGGCAUGCGCAACAUUAGCUAGUUGGUAGGGUAACGGCCUACCAAGGCUACGAUGUUUAGGGGACCUGAGAGGGUGAUCCCCCACACUGGUACUGAGACACGGACCAGACUCCUACGGGAGGCAGCAGUGAGGAAUAUUGGUCAAUGGGCGCAAGCCUGAACCAGCCAUCCCGCGUGCAGGAAGACGGCGCUAUGCGUUGUAAACUGCUUUUCCAGGGAAAGAAAACCCCCGACGUGUCGGGGCUUGCCGGUACCCUGGGAAUAAGCAUCGGCUAACUCCGUGCCAGCAGCCGCGGUAAUACGGAGGAUGCGAGCGUUAUCCGGAUUUAUUGGGUUUAAAGGGUGCGUAGGCGGAUUAAUAAGUCAGUGGUGAAAACCUUCAGCUUAACUGGAGACUUGCCAUUGAUACUGUUAGUCUUGAGUACGGUCAAGGUAGGCGGAAUGUGUAAUGUAGCGGUGAAAUGCUUAGAUAUUACACAGAACACCGAUUGCGAAGGCAGCUUACUGGGCCAUUACUGACGCUGAUGCACGAAAGCGUGGGGAGCGAACAGGAUUAGAUACCCUGGUAGUCCACGCCGUAAACGAUGAUCACUCGCUG